GUGCUCAUGUUGGCAGCACAUAUGCUAAAAUUGGAAUGAUACAGAGAUUAGCAUGGCCCCUGUGCAAGGAUGACAUGCACAUUUGUGAAGCGAAAGUAAAACAUUCUA
Macaca fascicularis (crab-eating macaque) is the source of this 108-nucleotide small nuclear RNA. NCBI's taxonomy places the organism in Eukaryota, Metazoa, Chordata, Mammalia, Primates, Cercopithecidae. The record is from Ensembl.